GACAGAGGCCUCAAGCGUUUAGGCGGAAGUCACUGGGCUUAAAGCGUGUGUAGGCGGAUCGUUAAGUGUCUUGUGAAAUCCCACGGCUCACCCGUGGAACUGCUGGGCAUACUGGCGAUCUUGGGCCAACUAGGGGCAACUGGAACAAGCGGUGGAGCGGUGAAAUGCGUAGAUAAUCGCUUGGAACGCCAAGGGUGAAAAACAGGUU
RNAcentral lists this ribosomal RNA (208 nucleotides) under uncultured bacterium. Its description in RNAcentral is "partial 16S ribosomal RNA". It matches the Rfam family "Bacterial small subunit ribosomal RNA", at positions 524 to 727 of the family's 1533-position model. The record is from RNAcentral.